This is a long non-coding RNA of Centropristis striata (black sea bass), 342 nucleotides long. RefSeq lists it as uncharacterized. The transcript has 4 exons. The record is from RefSeq and is a predicted model, not a curated record. Lineage: Eukaryota; Metazoa; Chordata; Actinopteri; Perciformes; Serranidae.
CCAUCACUGACUUCAGAGCUGAACACAGUGGGAAUUAUUACUGUGAAGCCCAGAACAGCAGAGGACGCCAUAACUCCACUUUACAUCUGACUGUUGCAGCAGGGAAUUUCACAACAAUAAUGAACAUCAUCAGGUUUUCUGUGGUGGUCUUGAUGCUGAUUCCUCUGGUUCUCCUGAGUCUGAUGAUGAUGAUGAGGAAGAAGAAAACCCAGAGCUCCACUGCUGAACCACAUGAUCCUGUAGAGAUAGAGUUAGACUCCUGUCAUGAGUACGAGAAUAUCUCAGACACCGCAGCACAGACAGAAGACUCAGAGGAGCAGGAAGACCUGGUGUGAAGUCCAG